This 416-nucleotide ribosomal RNA is filed under the name uncultured eukaryote. Its description in RNAcentral is "bacterial SSU rRNA". It matches the Rfam family "Bacterial small subunit ribosomal RNA", at positions 28 to 488 of the family's 1533-position model. The record is from RNAcentral.
GAUGAACGCUGGCGGUAUGCUUUACACAUGCAAGUCGUACGAGAGUUUUGAACUCAAGUGGCGGACGGGUGAGUAACACGUAAGAAUUUGCCUUUAGGAGGGGGGCAACAACUGGAAACGGUUGCUAAUACCCCAUAUGCUUUCGAGUGAAACGGUUUUUCCGCCUAAAGAGAAGCUUGCGGCUGAUUAGCUUGUUGGUAAGGUAAUGGCUUACCAAGGCGACGAUCAGUAUCUGGUUUGAGAGGACGAUCAGACACACUGGAACUGAGACACGGUCCANACUCCUACGGGAGGCAGCAGUGGGGAAUUUUCCGCAAUGGGCGAAAGCCUGACGGAGCAAUACCGCGUGAGGGAUGAAUGCCUUCGGGUUGUAAACCGCUUUCAGCAGGGACGAAAAUGACGGUACCUGCAGAAGA